CGGACGGGUGAGUAACGCGUGAGAAUCUGCCUCCAGGUCGGGGACAACAGCGGGAAACUGCUGCUAAUCCCGGAUAAGCCCUAGGGUAAAAGAUUUAUUGCCUGGAGAGGAGCUCGCGUCCGAUUAGCUAGAUGGUGAGGUAAGAGCUCACCAUGGCGACGAUCGGUAGCUGUUCUGAGAGGAAGAUCAGCCACACUGGGACUGAGACACGGCCCAGACUCCUACGGGAGGCAGCAGUGGGGAAUUUUCCGCAAUGGGCGAAAGCCUGACGGAGCAAGACCGCGUGCGGGAAGAAGGCCCUUGGGUCGUAAACCGCUUUUCUUAGGGAAGAAGCUCUGACGGUACCUAAGGAAUCAGCCUCGGCUAACUCCGUGCCAGCAGCCGCGGUAAUACGGAGGAGGCAAGCGUUAUCCGGAAUUAUUGGGCGUAAAGCGUCCGCAGGCGGCUUAUCAAGUCUGCUGUCAAAGACUGGGGCUCAACCCUGGGGAGGCAGUGGAAACUGAGAAGCUAGAGUGCAGUAGGGGUAGAGGGAAUUCCCAGUGUAGCGGUGAAAUGCGUAGAAAUUGGGAAGAACACCGGUGGCGAAAGCGCUCUACUGGGCUGUAACUGACGCUGAGGGACGAAAGCUAGGGGAGCGAAAGGGAUUAGAUACCCCUGUAGU
This 661-nucleotide ribosomal RNA is filed under the name uncultured cyanobacterium. RNAcentral's name for it is "bacterial SSU rRNA". It matches the Rfam family "Bacterial small subunit ribosomal RNA", at positions 99 to 794 of the family's 1533-position model. Lineage: Bacteria; Bacillati; Cyanobacteriota. The record is from RNAcentral.